AGAAGUUUAGCAAAGCAUGAUUGAUUAUCAUCUAAGGACAAACCUGGGAGCGUUCUUGUUAUCCACAACAAAGUUAUUAUCAACGCUAAAGUCAGAAGAAGCACUGCGUGGAAGGGAAGUAGCUGGCGAGGAGGAAGAAGAGUUAGCAUAAGGAGGUGGAGUAGCGGCAGCAGCAGUAGGUGAAAGAGAAGCAAGAGUAACGCCUUCUUCUUUGACUUUCCUCGUUCUCGACUUAUCAUUUGAGCAUUGAGUAGCAGGAGCAACACACAAGUGUUUAUGCAUCUCUUUAGCUAACUCCAGCAUAAGUUCGGUUUCAUCUGCAAGCUUAGUCGUCUUCUCCAACUCUUCCACUGCUGCUUUGGCGACGUUUAUUUUAUUCUCUGCCUCUACAACUUUACAUGCCGCGGUUAUUGCAGCUUCGUCGAUCAUCUCUUGUGAAACCGAAGGGGGUUGAUUGAUGUAUGAUUGCCGGGGUUUUACGUUUGUCUCCAUUGGUUUUGGGGUUGGGGCAGGUGUUGUUCUAGUUGUUGUUUCUGAUCCAUCUGGUAGCUUGUAGAAGUUCAGUAACUGUUGAGAGUUGGAAUAUAAACAAGACACAGAUUAAAAGAAAGAUGAAGAAACAUGUGACAGAGAAGAAAGAGAGGAGGCGUGCUUCAAAGACUUACAGGUUUUGAGUUGCUAACCUUUGAAAGUUUUCCCUGAGCUGCGAGCCGCCUCAGUCUUGAGCUAAGGACUCUUCUAAAAGUUGGCGGCACUUCAUGCCUUGGCUGCUCUUUCCACAAAUAAACCCACAAGGUCCGUUAGGAAAGGUUGUAGCAACUAACUUAAAAGUAGAAUCAAGAGAACUAUAACAAUGUGAAAAUAAACAUAACUAGCCCACCCUUAUAUGUAGUAGAUGAUGAGUCUCUACUAAACUGUUUAUCAGUUUACGAGGUUCUGACUUCUGAUCAAUGCCAAAAAAAAAAGAAGAGCAAAGAGAAAAUUGUAUCUAACCUCAAUGAAGCUGAAGAUGGAACCGACGUCAGAUCCAUUUGGAUCCGCUAACUCAGAGAUAGCUUCAAAUAUCAUCGCGUCAUACCUGAAAAUAGCAACUCAUUCAGAAGUUUAGCAAAGCAUGAUUGAUUAUCAUCUAAGGACAAACCUGGGAGCGUUCUUGUUAUCCACAACAAAGUUAUUAUCAACGCUAAAGUCAGAAGAAGCACUGCGUGGAAGGGAAGUAGCUGGCGAGGAGGAAGAAGAGUUAGCAUAAGGAGGUGGAGUAGCGGCAGCAGCAGUAGGUGAAAGAGAAGCAAGAGUAACGCCUUCUUCUUUGACUUUCCUCGUUCUCGACUUAUCAUUUGAGCAUUGAGUAGCAGGAGCAACACACAAGUUACGCCACUUAUC
Molecule: long non-coding RNA, 1383 nt
Filed under: Brassica napus (rape)
Lineage: Eukaryota; Viridiplantae; Streptophyta; Magnoliopsida; Brassicales; Brassicaceae
Description: long non-coding RNA (BNAP_LNC019271)
Source: RNAcentral